Molecule: ribosomal RNA, 365 nt
Filed under: uncultured eukaryote
Lineage: Eukaryota
Description: bacterial SSU rRNA
Rfam family: Eukaryotic small subunit ribosomal RNA
Source: RNAcentral
UCGGGUCUAGCACAACUUUUACACAGUGAAGCUGCGAAUGGCUCAUUAGGUCACCCAUUAUUUCUUGGAUCGUACAAUCCUACUUGGAUAACUGUGGUAAUUCUAGAGCUAAUACAUGCGAGCAAGCUCCGACCCUUCGGGGAAAGAGCGCGUUUAUUAGAUCAAAACCAAUCGGGCCUUCGGGUCCGUACGUUUGGUGACUCUGGAUAACUUUGAGCGGAUCGCACGGGCUUGACCCGGCGACGUAUCUUUCAAGUGUGUGCCCUAUCAACUUUCGAUGGUACGCGAUAUGCCUACCAUGGUUGCAACGGGUAACGGGGAAUGGGGCGGGGGCGGCGGGCCGGGCGCGGGGCGCGGGCGGGCGA